GUUUCCUGGGCUUCUCCUUAACCUGGGUAGUAUUCUUUGUACAGGUUUAAGUCUGAACUCUGUAAGUACAGAAGUCAGCAUGUACAUUUGCUAUUUGUUCUUUUAUUCUGGAAUAUCUUUAAAAUUUGGACCCAUAAGGAAACACCACACUCAUUUCAUCUCUUCAUCCUAUUGUGCCUCUUUGCAACUUCAGCAUACUCAGCUAUUCUCUUCUCCUUCUGACACGCUUCUCCCCUGACUUGCAUACCAUCACACUUCUCCUCAGUUUCCUUCUUACUCUCUGGCUACUCCUUUCUUGCUUCCUAACUAGCUUCUCCCUCUUUUCCUAUGCCUGACAUUUAAAUGCUGAGAUUUCCUGUGCUCUUUCUGGUCACUCAGUUCUCAUUUUAUACUUUUCUUUUCAGGUGAUCCCACAGAAGUCGUCUGGCUUCCAUUGUCAACUUUGUGUCCAAUAAACCCAGAUACACAUUCCCAGACCCUUUUCCUCUAUCCUCCAAGCGCAUUGAUCCACCUGCCUGCUGGACAUCUCAGCUUAGUUUCCUCACUGAUCCCCUUAAACCUCUAAUUCAAGUGCCCAAAGCUAAACUUAUGACUGUUCCAUCCAUGACCUCUCCCAAGAAGUGGCUUAGUUAUACAGCCAGUUGCUGUGGCAGAAACCCAGCGGUUUUCCAUAAACUUCCCAUAUUCAAUCAAUCACAAAAUAUUUCAUGAAGUUCCUUCCAGUUAUUCCAUGAUCAUGAUAAGCCUCUCUGUCUCUUCUCAAGCUGGGAUGUUUGGGCAUCUCAUGCCCAGAUCCUGGAAAUUGAGUGUCACAAGACCCAAGCCUUGCUGACCAGGACCUUCCUGCGAUUUGCUGAACCAAUGGAAAGCUUCUUAGGUGACAAACCUGAAGCACAAGUGAAAGCAGUAUCAACCUUUCUUCUUGAAGGACAACAGGCCAACCAUGAAAGUCUUGGGCCCUCUCUUCCUUAGGAUUUAUUGCCCUUCUGAUCUUUAACACCAGUUGAUACCGAGGAGAAAUCUGAAGUCAAGUUGAUCUUUUGUUUUUCUUCCCUUGGGAGAAACUUGAAUUUUCCAGUUAGAAUGAUCAUGUAAGUUUCCCUUUAUCUUUUAUUUAAUUUUUUAAUUAAUUAUACAUUACAGUAGAAUGUAUUUGGCACACUGUACACAAAUGGAGCACAAUUUAUCUUCCUCUGACUGAACAUGGUGCAGAGUCACACCAAUAGUGUAAUCAUACAUGUAUAUAGGGUAAUAAUAUCCAUCUCAUUCCACCAUCCUUCCAUCCCACACUCCCUCCCCUUCCAGCACUCCCCUCUGCAUAAUCCAAAGUUCCUUUAUUCUUCCCUAACCCCCCCCCCCAUUAUGGAUUAGCAUCUGCUUAUCAGAGAAAACAUUCAGCCUUUGGUUUUGGGGUUUGGCUUAUUUCGCUUAGCAUGAUAUUCUCCAGCUCCCUCUUUAAGAAUGUGAAUAUGUACCACAUUUAUCUGUUGUAGGGCAUCUACGUUGAUUCCAAAGUUGCUAGCUAUAGUGAGUUGAGCUGCUAUAAACAUUGAUAAGGCUGUGUCACUGUAGUAUGCUGCUUAUUAUUUGGUUAUAAAACAAGGAGUGGGAUAACUGUGUCAAAUUGUGGUUCCAUUCCAAGUUUUCUGAGGAAUAUCCACACUGCUUUCCAGAGUGGGUUGCACCAAUUUGCAGUCCCGCUAUUAAUGUGUAAGUAUACCUUUUUCCCUACAUCCUCACUAACAUUUAUUGUUGUUUGUAUUCUUGAUAAUUGCCAUUCUGAUGGGAAUGAGAAGGAAUCUUAAAGUAGUUUUGACUUGGAUUUCUCUAAUUAGUAGAGAUGAUAAACAUUUUUUUUUUUCAUGUUUGUUAAUUUGAGUGUAUAUCUUCUUCUGAGAAGUGUCUGUUCAGUUCCUUAGCUCAUUUAUUGAUUGGGUUAUUUGAGGGGUUUUUUAGUUGUUAGUUUGGUUGGUUUGGGGUGUUAAGUUUUUGAAUUCUUUAUAUAUCCUGGAGAUUAAUGCUCUAUCUGAGGUGCAUGUGCUAAAGAUUUUCUACCAUUCUGUAGGCCUUCUCUUUUUGUUAUUAAUUGUCUCUUUUGCUGAGAAGCAGCUUUUUAGUUUGAAUCCAUUUAUUGAUUCUUGAUUCUACUUCUUGCACUUUAGGAGCCUUGUUAAGAAAAUCAUUCCUAGGCCGACAUGGUGGAGAUUUGGUCCUACUUUUUUCUUCUAUUAGGCGCAGGGUCUGUGUUCAAGUGCCUAAGUCUUUGAUCAACUUUGAGUUGAUUUUUGUGUAGGGUAAGAGAGGUUUAAUUUCAUUUUCCAACAUAUGGAUUUCCAGUUUUCCUAGAAUCAUUUGUUGAAUGGGCUAUCUUUCCCCCCAAUGUAUGUUUUUGGUGCCUUUGUCUAGUGUGAGAUAAUCUUACUUAGGUGGGUUUAUCUCUGUGUCUUCUGUACCAUUGGUUUACAUGUCUGUUUUGGUGCCAAUACCAUGCUGUUUUUGCUUCUGUAGCUCUGUAGUGUCAUUUUAGGUUUGGCAUGGAGAGAUCUUUCCAUCUUAUAAGGUCUUCUUCAAUUUCUUUCUUUAGUGUUCUGUAGUUUUCAUUGUAGAGGUCUUUCAUUUCUUUUGUUAGAUUGAUUCCCAGAUGUUUUUUUUUUUUUGAGGCUAUUGUGAAUGGGGUAGUUUUCCUAAUUUCUCUUUCAGUGGAUUCCUCAUUGAUGUAUAAGAAUGCAUUUGAUUUAUGAGUAUUGAUUUUAUAGCCUGCUACUUCGCUGAAUUCAUUUAUUCCAGAAGUUUUCUGGUAGAAUUUUUCGGAUCCUCCAAGUAUAGAAUCAUGUCGCCAGCAAAUAGUGAUGGUUUGAGUUCUUCUUUUCCUGUUCGUAUCCCUUUAAUUUCUUUUGUGAGAGCAAGAGUUUCAAGGACUAUGUUGAAUAAAAGUAGUGAGAGCAGGCAUCCCCGUCUUGUUACAGUUUUUAUGGGGAAUGCUUUUGGUUUUUCUCCUUUUAUUUUAUUUUUUUUUUUAAUUUUUUAUUGUUGGCUGUUCAAAACAUUACAUAGUUCUUGAUAUAUCAUAUUUCACAAUUUGAUUCAAGUGGGUUAUGAGCUCCCAUUUUUACCCCAUAUACAGAUUGCAGAAUCACAUCAGUUACACAUCCAUUGAUUUACAUAUUGCCAUAUCCUUUAUUUCAAAGAUCAGUCUAACUAUGUACUUUCUAAACUUCUUCUCUGGCAUUUCUUCUACUAUGUUGUCUAUGGAUUCUGUUGCUGGAACAUCUUGGUUUGAUUGAGGUGCUUUGUUCUCUUGUUUUUUCAAGUUGUUUUUGUGUCCAUCUAGCGGUAUGGAUCUGAGGCAGUACAGUUUCUUAUAGUGUCCCUGCAGGCUUCUAGUACCUCACCUUUGAGGGGGAGACCAAUAUUAACAGCACCCAAUGCAAGCAAUAUACAACCUUAAACCAAAUAGCUCCUAUUAAGGAGCUACAGUUUUGUCUCAGUAAACAGAAAUGAUGUGUUCAAUUAUUGUCUACAAUAUAAACAGUAAGUUUGCUAAAAGGGUUUACUAUUUCAAAUGCUGGACAGAAGGAACAGAAGUAGUGGAGGAUGUGAUGUUUAUGAGGGAGGAGAGAAGAUAGAGGUAAAAAUUUAUAGUAAGAGCAAAGAAGGAAUUAGUAGAGGUUGGCUGUUUAGCAUGAGAGAAGUGAGAAAGAGAAUCCAGGGAGACAGAAGUGAAAGAAAAAAAUAUAGAUUUUUUUUUUUAAAGUAAAAAUUUAAGAAUACAAAACCAAACUUUGAUAUACUAGUCAGACAUCCCACUCCUCAAUAAACUGAUGCAUGAAAAAUAUUUGAAUUCAUACAUGGUAGAGAUGUGAGAAAAAGGGAAAAAGAAAGAAAAAAAAAAGGAAAGUCUCUAUGGAAAGUUGAACAGUUGCUUCCAUUGGCUUUCAAAAAUUUUCUCAGCUUUUCUUUUCCGCCAAUAGGUGGGAUUUUCUAAAGUUUGAUGGUAGCUCCGCAGUCUGAUAGCAGGAUGCCCUCAUACCCUCUUCUAACCUUUGCACUUGUAGCUAGGCCCUUCUGUCCCAGGGCACUUCAGGAUUCCUGGUUCUUUCCAGUUUCUCCAACCUGUGUGCUCCCCACCCCAGGGAACUGCCCCAAGACUCUGGCUUUCCACAGGCUUGCCAGGCCCAGACUGGCCCACACAGACCCAUCUGCAAUCUGAUGGACCUGGGCUUCAGAUUCCCCAGGCUCUGCCUUGCUGCAGUCCCAAGAUCUCAAUGCUAUUCCAACUAUCAGAAAGACUACCAGGGAUGUGCUCACACAAAGGAGCCACCCUGCAAAGAGGCAGCCAGAUCACGGCUACUAGCACACCCAGCAAGUGCAUCCAGACCUACAGGUAUCCUGAUGAUAUAUCUCUAGGACCUGACUAGUAUCUCCAGACUGAGGCAGCCAGCCCUGAGAUGCAGUGGUGGCAGUAGCAAACCUUCAGGCCCCUUGGCCCUAGACUCCCAGGCCCUGGCCAGUUUCCCAAGAUGGCUGCAAUCAUGUCUAACUUAACCUGAAGGUACCCUGACAAUGGACUUCUGGGCAGCAAUGGGCCCGGCAGUCUGCCAGCAAAGGGUGGGCAUUUGGCUGGCUAAAGGCAUAGAUGAGCAGGUAAAAGGCAGGCAAACGGGCAGCCAGUGGGCAGUCAGUGGAAGUAGCCACUGAUCAGCACCCAAAAGGCAUGUGGUAUACUGGAAAAGGGGCUGGCGGACAAAGUAGGGGCAAACAGCAGGGGAUCAGUGGGCAGCAAGGGCUGUCUCUCAGAGAAACAGUAUUUCACCUGCUUGUAUCCCAAGUCACAGAGCAACAAGGAAUACAGCCUCCCUCUAGUUCUCUUGGAUCUCUUCCUCCCUUUAUCUUUGAAUUUCGGUAAACUGUACCAGAAUGACUUAAUUAUUUGAUUUUUCCUGGAUACAUUUCCCUUUAAAUCUGAAGAUUCUUUCAUUCCAGUUCUGCCACUCACUGAAGUAUUUUCUUUGGCUAAUUACUCAGUUUUGUUGUGAGUGCAGUAAGGAUCAUGAUAAUCCUUAAACUAAUUCAAUUAUUGUGAACCUUAAAUGAGAUAAUGCAGGCUGGAGUUGUGGCUCAGUGGCUUAUAUAACUAAAAGUUAUAUAAGUACACUGAAAUAUCAAAACAUUUUCUUAGUUUAUUUCACAAUAAAGGAUGCAUUUAAUGUUUUGUGUUUGGUCUUGCCUUAUUUAAUCCUCAUACUGUUAUUUUUAAUUUGGACAUUUCUUCCCAACUAUAUUAUGAGUUUUUAAGGGCUGACGUUCUGUUUACCUUAAAAUACUCCAUAUAUCUAUAUUGGUUCAAUUCAAUGAAUAUUUACUUAUAGGCUCAUAUCCUGGUUCCUCUGAUUUCUGAGCAUUUGUCACACAUGUAUGAAGCUAUGUUUCCUGUCCAAGGAAAUAAAUAAUAUAAUUCAGUUCUCUCCUUAAAUUCAAAGUAAAACUCUAACAUUGUCCACUUUUUUUUUAACCACUUAGUGGUUUUUAAUAUAUUCCUAGAGUUGUACAGCCAUCACCAAUUCCAGAAUAUUUUCAUCACUCACAAAGAAACACCAUAUCUAUUAGCAGCCACUCCCUGUUCCUCCCUGCCCUAUCCCCAGGAACUACUGAUUUAUUUCCUGUCUGUAUCAUUUGUUCUGUUCUGGAUAUUUUGACUGAAUUGCAUAUGUCUGGCUUCUCUUAUUCACAUAGUUUUCAGGAUUUACCUAUGUUACAGUGUGAAUCAGCACUUCUUUCUGUGGUAUAAUAACAUUCUAUUAUUUGUAUAUUCCACAAUUUUUUACUCAUUCAUCUAUUGAUGAGCACGUGUGUGAGGUUCUCUCUGCUGUGAAUCUGUUUUUGCCAAUGGGAUAGCCCUGAUUGAAGUGAAUAAGGAGACAGUCUCUAUGUGGAAGGCUACACAAUCCCCCAGAUGAAGGAGGAGGCAUUUAGGGGAAUUUGAUAGUGCUAGUGCCAUUCUAGAUUUGGGGAAAUACCAAUUUUAAAGGCUCUAUUAGCAUGCACAUAAUUAUUAGACUUAUGUUUCUUCUGAGUAUCAGGAAGAGACAGUCCUGACCUUGGGCAUGUUCUGAUUUCUUAUUUACUCUCUCCAUUGGCCUGGUCGGUUAUUUUUUCCUGAGAUUCCUUCCUUUAUGUCUCAUUUUUUUUUUGCUUCUUUUUGACCAGGAGCUCCUGUGUUCUGCAAACAUAGAACUGAAGAAGUGUGACAAACCCAGAUAUCCAUAGCUAAGGUAUCAAACUGAAGACAAUAGAUGCAGUGAAUCUACAUAAAACCCAGAAUACUGAGCUGCAACUUGGGUUAGGAGUAGGGGACAGUGGAGAAUACUUGGAAAUUUCAGUUCAAUAAAGAGAUGAAAGUUAUAUAAGUACACCGAAAUAUUAAAGCAUUUUCUUAGUUUAUUUCACAAUAAAGG
RNAcentral lists this long non-coding RNA (6455 nucleotides) under Marmota monax (woodchuck). The record is from RNAcentral. Lineage: Eukaryota; Metazoa; Chordata; Mammalia; Rodentia; Sciuridae.